GAUGAACGCUGGCGGCGUGCCUAGUACAUGCAAGUCGAGCGAACAGACGAGGAGCUUGCUCCUCUGACGUUAGCGGCGGACGGGUGAGUAACACGUGGAUAACCUACCUAUAAGACUGGGAUAACUUCGGGAAACCGGAGCUAAUACCGGAUAAUAUAUUGAACCGCAUGGUUCAAUAGUGAAAGAUGGUUUUGCUGUCACUUAUAGAUGGAUCCGCGCCGCAUUAGCUAGUUGGUAAGGUAACGGCUUACCAAGGCAACGAUGCGUAGCCGACCUGAGAGGGUGAUCGGCCACACUGGAACUGAGACACGGUCCAGACUCCUACGGGAGGCAGCAGUAGGGAAUCUUCCGCAAUGGGCGAAAGCCUGACGGAGCAACGCCGCGUGAGUGAUGAAGGUCUUCGGAUCGUAAAACUCUGUUAUUAGGGAAGAACAAAUGUGUAAGUAACUAUGCACGUCUUGACGGUACCUAAUCAGAAAGCCACGGCUAACUACGUG
Molecule: ribosomal RNA, 497 nt
Filed under: uncultured bacterium
Lineage: Bacteria
Description: partial 16S ribosomal RNA
Rfam family: Bacterial small subunit ribosomal RNA
Source: RNAcentral